AUGACACCCGUGAGUGGGGAGGGAAUGAUCAUUAUUACAGGUACAGUUGGUGACUUGUUGGUGACUUGUGAUCCUGUCGGUGACUUGGUUCCUCAGAAUGGGUUCAGAUGACAGUUUAUCAGAUGACUUUGGGUUUCAGAUGAAUUGUGGUUCCGAGUUUAAGCUGAAGCUUUGAUCCUGUGUUCCGAGAUGCAUAGCCUGCCAGUCUUGUCUGCAUCAUUUGCAUCAUAGCAGGUUUAUUUUCAAAAAGACACGCAACAAAAAGAUAAAAAAGAAAAAAAAGAAAAAGCUAAUCCCUGCAUGCAUAUCAUUUCUCAGGUACAUUCCAGAGUCUAUUCACUGAUAGAGAUGGCAACAGUCCCAGAGUUGAAGCGGAAGACUUGUUCCUACAGCUUUCAU
This 399-nucleotide long non-coding RNA is filed under the name Lathyrus oleraceus (garden pea). RNAcentral describes it as "Pisum sativum (pea) long non-coding RNA (PSAT_LNC019890)". Lineage: Eukaryota; Viridiplantae; Streptophyta; Magnoliopsida; Fabales; Fabaceae. The record is from RNAcentral.